RNAcentral lists this ribosomal RNA (470 nucleotides) under Harpiliopsis beaupresii. Its description in RNAcentral is "partial 16S ribosomal RNA". It matches the Rfam family "Bacterial large subunit ribosomal RNA", at positions 1925 to 2606 of the family's 2925-position model. The record is from RNAcentral. Lineage: Eukaryota; Metazoa; Arthropoda; Malacostraca; Decapoda; Palaemonidae.
AAAGGGCCGCGGUAUUUUGACCGUGCAAAGGUAGCAUAAUAAAUAGUCUCUUGAUUGGAGGCUGGAAUGAACGGCUUGAUGAAGGACUCACUGUCUUUUCUUUUAAGGUGGAAUUUAACUUUUUAGUGAAAAGGCUGAAAUUAGGUGGGGGGACGAUAAGACCCUAUAAAACUUUAUACGCCUGAGUUGGUUUUUAGAUUUAGGUUUAAUUUAAGUUUGGUGGUGGCGUAUUUCGUUGGGGAGAUGAUGAUAUAACUGGUAACUGUCUGUUAAAAUUUAAUAAUUAUAGUUAGCUUAAGAUCCUUCCUUGAAGAUUUAAAGAUCAAGUUACUUUAGGGAUAACAGCGUGAUUUUCUCUGAGAGUCCAUAUCGACGAGAGUAGUUGCGACCUCGAUGUUGAAUUAAAAUUCCGGACUGGUGCAGCCGCCUUUCUAGUUGGUCUGUUCGACCUUUAAAAUUUUACGUGAUCU